Molecule: long non-coding RNA, 976 nt
Filed under: Homo sapiens (human)
Lineage: Eukaryota; Metazoa; Chordata; Mammalia; Primates; Hominidae
Description: non-protein coding lnc-PPP4R3C-2:6
Source: RNAcentral
AGAACUUCCGGCAGCAACUGCAAUUAGGGGUAGUCCAGUGCUAAAUUGUCGCAGCCUUGAAAAUAUUCUGCUUCGUUAUUUCGGGCACUCCACAGAUUCUGUUGCGAAGGCAGCCAUCUUUAGUUCGUCUUUCCUAGAGAGAAUUUUAUACUGAGGAGACAUCUUAUUUUAGUGUGUGAGCUGCAAAGUUGCUUUACAUCUUUGCCAGCAGCUGAUAAGGGUGGGCCAUAAACCCAAUUUGUGUCCCUUGGGCUGGUGAUUCUGCUGGAAAUCCUGAUCAGCUGCUUAGCUUUUCAGCCGCAACUUUGUUGUAAGUAUUUUAGUUUCUCAGUCAUCUUCUUUGAAUCACCAAAAAGCUUGUGGAGAAAACGGUACCAAAGUUGGGUCUCACCACGUGGGCUUCUCUUCUGAGAUUCAGUCUCUUCAAAUGCUUGUUUCUUUGGACUUGUGAUACCUACAAACAAUAUGUUUAAUAUCUUCCAGCUCUCCUAGUUUUUCUCAGCAGAAUGGUUGAGCUAAACUGGCUGCAUUACCAUGGAAGCAGACAUCUCUACAUAUACUGUUUUUUUGGAAUAUGUUUUAGUUUUAAUUGUUUUUCAUUGUAUAGCCAGUUGAUCCUUUUUGUUGUUGCUGUUGUCGUUGUUUUUUGAGAUGGAAUCUUGCUCUGUCACCCAGGGUGGAGUGCAGUGGCACAAUCUCGGCUCACAGCAACCUCCGCCUCCCGGAUUCAAGCAAUUCUCCUACCUCAGCCUCCCAAGUAGCUGGGAUUACAGGCACACGCCACCACGCCCGGCUAACUUUUUUUUUGUAUUUUAGUAAAGACAGGGUUUCACUGUGUUCCCUAGGCUGGUCGCAAACUCCUGAGCUCAGGCAAUCCGCCCGCCUCGGCCUCCCAAAGUGCUGGGAUUACAGGAGUGAGCCACUAUGCCCAGCCAAUCCAUUCUUUAUGUCAAUAAGAUUAAAACAUCUUUUAAGG